CUGGCGGCGUGCCUACACAUGCAAGUCGCAACGAGAAGCUAACUUCUGAUUCCUUCGGGAUGAUGAGGUUGGCAGAAAGUGGCGAACGGGUGAGUAACGCGUGGGUAAUCUACCUUGUAAGUGGGGGAUAACCCUCCGAAAGGAGGGCUAAUACCGCAUAAGGUCUUCACUUCUUAAGAAGUAAAGAUUAAAGAUGGCCUCUAUACUAUGCUAUCGCUUCGGGAGGGGCCUGCGUCCCAUCAGCUAGUUGGUAGGGUAAUGGCCUACCAAGGCGAAGACGGGUAGGGGACCUGAGAGGGUGACCCCCCACAAUGGAACUGAAACACGGUCCAUACACCUACGGGUGGCAGCAGUAGGGAAUAUUGCACAAUGGGCGAAAGCCUGAUGCAGCAACGCCGCGUGCGCGAAGAAGGCCUUCGGGUUGUAAAGCGCUUUUCGGGGAGAAGAGAAAGGACGGUAUCCCCGGAAUAAGGAUCGGCUAACUACGUGCCAGCAGCCGCGGUAAAACGUAGGAUCCGAGCGUUAUCCGAAUUCACUGGGCGUAAAGCGCGUGUAGGCGGUUCGGUAAGUUGGAUGUGAAAGCUCCCGGCUCAACUGGGAGAGGACGUUCAAAACUGUUGGACUAGAGGGCGGAAGAGGGAGGUGGAAUUCCCGGUGUAGUGGUGAAAUGCGUAGAUAUCGGGAGGAACACCAGUGGCGAAAGGCGGCCUCCUGGGCCGCACCUGACGCUCA
This 732-nucleotide ribosomal RNA is filed under the name uncultured bacterium. Its description in RNAcentral is "bacterial SSU rRNA". It matches the Rfam family "Bacterial small subunit ribosomal RNA", at positions 36 to 749 of the family's 1533-position model. The record is from RNAcentral.